UGGAGGGCGCGCCCGGGAGGGCGGAGCUCGCCCGCUCCGCAGCCGGAGACCCUUCAGUAGCGGCUACUCUGGUGAGUUCAUACUUUGGAAGAAAUCUUAGAAUAUGUUCAACGUGGUAGUAAUUUUUACCUGCUGCCUCAGAAUACAAAUUUGAAGACGUUAAGAAGUUAUACAAAGAUACACCACUUAUACUGAGAUAUGUGACUGACACCGGAGAGCAUCCCGUGCUCCUUUGGCAGGAUUUUUAUUCACCUUGCCCAUCAGGCAUCCCACAAGUCCUUAUGAUAGGUUAUAUAAGCAAAAACUCAAACGAGGUUUCCUCUGAAGUGUCUGGAGGAACUGGAGACUUGAACUGCAUGGUUCAUUUGUGCUGCUUUGGCAGUUGUAAACGAAGCGAGUAAUUAUUAACCUGUGUAUUGUCUUCAACAUCCCUUCUACAUGCUUCAGAGAUCGGCUUAGUCCUAGACAAUGUGUGGGGUUGCUUUAAAACAAACAAAACCAUGAUAUUCUAUUGGCAUCAUUUUAAAACCAAAAUAGUCAAUUGGCAUCAUAUUAUCAGUAUAAACAAAAAAGGUUAUUACUCUCUACAAGUUGCUUGGAGGAAUUCUUUGCUUAAAAAUUUUAUAUUUGUUUAACAGUUCUGAAAUUAGAGGGUGAGUCUGGUUUUAGUGACCUUUCUUCCUCAGUCUCCUAAGAGUGAAGUGAGCAUUUGGAGACAUGACAUACCACAUUCAGCUGUCUGAAAUUCUUUGCAACUAAAUUUUCUAGAUAUUAAGAUAGUCUUGAAGAAUUUAUAACACUUGUAAAAGAAAACUUUUAGAGACACAUUCGAUAAAUUCAGAGAUUGGAAAAGAUCAGCAAAUAUUAAUGUACUUUUCUUCCCCCUUUCCAGUAAACUACGGGAUGCUUUUAGCUAAUGGAUCAUAAACUGCACGCCAAAGUUCUUGAUCAUUAUUUUAAAUAAUGGCAAUGUAAUUUCCAAUGUGAUUGCUAUUGUUACAAAUGUGUCUGGCACAAUUAAAGACUGCAGUGGUUUAAA
Mesocricetus auratus (golden hamster) is the source of this 1039-nucleotide long non-coding RNA. RefSeq lists it as uncharacterized. The record is from RefSeq and is a predicted model, not a curated record. NCBI's taxonomy places the organism in Eukaryota, Metazoa, Chordata, Mammalia, Rodentia, Cricetidae. The transcript has 2 exons.